GUUCAGGGAGAAGCGUCAUAUGUCAAGAGGACCCGAGGGGGGCACCAGAGUCUUCAGGAGGCAGCUCUCUCAGAAGCAAACCUCUGAAUUCUGCACUGGAACCUUUGCUAAAGGCUGCCAAGACCCAGAGACUCUGUGCAGAUCAGACCUAGAUGGGAACACCUGCUCACAUCAUCUGAAAGUUUCGCUGAAUUACCUCGGGAUAGCUCACAGCCAAGACCUCAGGGAGACACAUGAGGAAUGAGGAAGAGGAAUCCUGAUCCAGAGAUGAAUUACUGCCUCCUCCAACCCUUCAAGGUGGCAGAAGGCUAUGGUACCAAGUCCAGGAGCCAACGUGCUGGAAUUCAUCUUGGGUCUCCUACUGAGGAAAUGGCUCUACAUAAGAAUAUGGGAGAGGAAAACCCAAAGUGGGCCCAUGAGAAACUCGAUAGUUAAGCUUCAGGCCUGUUGGGGAAUGAUGGACAGACCUUUCAGAGCUUCUGAAAGUUGGGGAUCACAUUUCCUAAAGAUACAACAGGAAAUUGAUUCCAAACAGCAGAAAGAAGUACAGGGAAUCAUGGAAUUGGCCUGGUCUAGCUGUCUUGAGAGGUGUGGGUCGUGGAGUUUUCAGGUUAGGGUCUGUGGCUUCUGGGGCACUAUGUGCCUUUCAAUUCCUGAGAAACUGAGUCACUCCCUCGGGUAGUGAAACAUUCAUGCCAACUGUAUUCUCUGUAUCCCAAAGAAAUCAGUGAAGCAUAUAAGAAGGCUGGACAAUUAGUCUUAGACAUUAAUCUUGUGUGCAAUCAUUGUAUCCUGGCAGUUAUAAUUCUAUUCUUCUUUGUAGCUGCCAUUAUAUUCUGUAUCUGAUAAGGGUAUAAAAAGUCUGAUUGCUUGCAAUAAACUUGUCUCAACCUUAGGUUUUCGGAGACCCCUUCAA
RNAcentral lists this long non-coding RNA (916 nucleotides) under Mus musculus (house mouse). Its description in RNAcentral is "predicted gene 5544". Lineage: Eukaryota; Metazoa; Chordata; Mammalia; Rodentia; Muridae. The record is from RNAcentral.